This is a ribosomal RNA of Fusobacterium varium ATCC 27725, 144 nucleotides long. It matches the Rfam family "Bacterial small subunit ribosomal RNA", at positions 1 to 154 of the family's 1533-position model. Lineage: Bacteria; Fusobacteriati; Fusobacteriota; Fusobacteriia; Fusobacteriales; Fusobacteriaceae. The record is from Rfam.
UGAACGAAGAGUUUGAUCCUGGCUCAGGAUGAACGCUGACAGAAUGCUUAACACAUGCAAGUCUACUUGAUCCUUCGGGUGAAGGUGGCGGACGGGUGAGUAACGCGUAAAGAACUUGCCUUACAGACUGGGACAACAUUUGGA